This is an RNA transcript of Sorghum bicolor (sorghum), 3358 nucleotides long. It is a transcript of the gene named exocyst complex component SEC3A, with no coding region annotated. Lineage: Eukaryota; Viridiplantae; Streptophyta; Magnoliopsida; Poales; Poaceae. The transcript is spliced from 28 exons. The record is from RefSeq and is a predicted model, not a curated record.
UAGAUGGAGGAAGUUGUCAUCUCUCUCCUUGAAUGGUGGCUGAAAUAGUGAAAUGGUACCCGAAAUAGAGAAACGAGUGGAGGAAGCGGACAACGCCACUAGUCUCCCUCUCCCGUGCAUGCAGCGAACGGUUCGUCAUCAUUCAUCAGUUCCGAGGAGAUUUGGAAUGUGUCUGCCUAAUCCCGAUCUCAUUCCCUCCAUCACAUCCGGCCGGCGACAGCGACGACCAAGUUGGAUCGAUUGAAUCCAGUUGAAGCUAAUUAAGCCUCCAUUCGAUAUCACACGUUGAUUUGAGGCCAGCCGAGCCGAGCGGCGGCCGGCGGCGACAUGGCGCGGUCGAGCGCGGACGACAUGGAGCUGAAGCGCGGGUGCGAGGCCGGGAUCCUCGCCAAGGGGGACCGGGACAAGGUGGUGAUGUGCAUGCGCGUCGCCAAGAGCCGCGGCGGCGGCGGCGGCUUGGCCAAGGUCAAGCUCACCUCCCGCCACAAUAUGGCCAAGCCCCGCGUCCUCGCCGUCACCGCCAAGGUCAAAGGGCAGAAGACCAAGUCGUUCCUGCGGGUGCUCAAGUACUCCAAUGGCGGCGUCCUCGAGCCGGCAAAAGUGUACAAGAUCAAGCAUCUCCACAAGAUAGAGGUCGCCCAAAACGAUCCCAGCGGCUGCACCUUCGUCUUGGGGUUUGACAACCUGAAAAGCCAGAGUAUCGCGCCUCCACAAUGGACCAUGCGCAACAAAGAGGACAGGAACCGCCUGCUGAUGUGCAUCCUCAACAUGUGCAAAGAGCACUUGGGAAACAUCCCCAAAGUCGUCGGCAUGGACGUCGUCGAGAUGGCAAUCUGGGCAAAGAACACUCAAGCAAAGGUUACACAAGUGAGCAAUAAAGAUGGGCCUGUGGAAUCACUAGUAUUAGAGGCUGAGUCGCAAGUUAUCGUUGAGAAAGACCUCGUUUCUCAGGAAGAAGAGGAGGACAUUGAGACUCUUCUUGGCAAUUAUGUUAUGGCCAUUGGUGAAGCAGAGGCUUUUUCAGAAAGGAUGAAACGCGAACUUGUAGCUCUAGAAUCUGCAAAUGUUUAUGCCCUGAUGGAAACUGAAUCUGUUGUCGAAGAGGUAUUGCAGGGUCUAGAAGUAGCCAGUAUAUGUGUUGAAGAUAUGGAUGAAUGGCUAGGGAUUUUCAAUACAAAGCUCAGGCAUAUGAGGGAGGAUAUAAAAUCUAUAGAAUGGCGUAAUAACAGACUGGAGUUGCAAUCUGAUAGUAAUGUGGCUUUGAUUGAUGAGGUAGACAAAUUGCUUGUGCUGCUGCAGAUUCCACCUGAGUAUGAAGCAUCAUUAACUGGAGGAUCAUUUGAUGAAGGAAAUAUGGUUAAGAACAUUGAAGCCUGUGACUGGUUAACCAGUGCUAUAAAGAACCUAGAAGCAUCCAACAUAGACCCAAUCUAUGUAAAAUUGCGUGCUGUUAGGGAAAAACGUGCAGAAUUUGUACUUCUUAAGUGCACCUUCGUUCGGAGGGCAUCAGAAUUUUUAAGGAAUUACUUUCCUAGUUUGAUUGAUUCUAUGCUAAAUGACAAAGGAAACUUCUCUGAGCGAGGUCAUCUGCAGAGGCCUGAUCACGCUGAUAUGAGGUACAAAUGCAGGACUUAUGCACGGCUUCUACAACACAUCAAGAGUUUGGACAAGAGUUGUAUGAUGCCUUUGCGGAAAGCUUACUGCCAUUCACUGAACAUGCUAAUUCGACGUGAGUCUCGUGACUUUUCUAAUGAACUCCGUAAUAGUUCAAAAGCAUCAAAGAGCAGCACGCCAUUGUUUGAGGGUCCUGCAGGUGCAAACCAGCCUGCAAGUAUUACAGAUAGUCCUGCAGAUGCAUACUCCAAGAUGAUUACUGUUUUCAUUCCACUUCUUGUUGAUGAGAGCUCAUUCCUUGCACAUUUUAUGUGCUUUGAAGUUUCCGCACUUUCUCAAUCUGAUGCUUCAAGUAGCAAUCCUAAUGCUGAAUCAACUAGUACUUCUUCGGUUGCAUUAGAAGCUUCUGCAAGCAAAACAAGUAACAAUCCAGCUGAGCUGGGUGCACUAAAUCAAUGCCUUCAGGAGUUGCUUGAUGGUAUUCAGGAGGACUUUUAUGCUUUGGUUGACUGGGCAUUCAAGCUAGAUCCACUGAGUUGCAUAUCUAUGCACGGAAUAACAGAUCGGUAUCUUUCUGGUCAGAAAGCAGAGGUCUCCGGAUAUGUACAAGUGUUGCUUGAUGACUUGGAGACAAGAAUAACAAUUUUGUUUAGCAGGUUUGUUGAUGAUGCCUGCUACCAGAUUGAGAAGUAUGAGCGCAAUGUGCGGCAAGUUGGAGUUGUUCCCUAUAUUCCCAGGUUCUCACAACUUGCAGCACGUAUGGAGCAAUAUAUCAAUGGAUCCAGGGAUCUAGUUGACCAGGCAUAUACUAAAAUCGUGAGUAUUAUGUUUGUUAUACUGGAGAAAAUUGCUCAAGUGGAACCUAAAUAUGUUGAUAUUGUACUUUUGGAAAACUAUGCUGCUUUCCAGCACAGCUUAUAUGAUUUGGCAAAUGUUGUGCCAACACUUGCUAAAUAUUAUCAUCAAGCUAGUGAAGCCUAUGAACAAGCUUGUUCACGCCAUAUCAAUUUGGUCAUAUAUAUUCACUUUGAAAAGCUAUUCCAGUUUGCUCGUAAAAUUGAGGAAUUAAUGUACAACAUGAGUCCUGAGGAGAUACCCUUCCAAGUUGGAAUGUCAAAGGUAGAUUUUCGCAAGAUGUUGAAGUCUAGCUUAACUGGACUUGACAAGACAAUCAAUGCAAUGUACAGAAAACUACAGAAGAAUAUGACUGCUGAGGAAUUGCUGCCUUCACUAUGGGAAAAAUGCAAGAAAGAGUUUCUUGAUAAAUAUACAACAUUCCUUAAGUUGAUUUCGAAAAUAUAUCCUGAUGAAAAGGUGACAUCUGUGAACGAAAUGAGGGAUAUUCUAGCUUCACUGUAGCUGUUUCAUUAGAAGGUUAGCAUAUUCAUUGGUUUGCUUGCACAUAAGUUGACCUGAUUCGCAUCAUCUCAGGUUCUUUGGAGAAUAAUUAUCAGUUUGUGAAGAAAAGGAGAUCCCCUUGUUUGGGUAUUGGGUUGCCUCGGACAGAUAUUGUAGCUGGCUGCUGGAGAAGAGAACGAAGCACAUCUGACCCAAGGGUCGUUGUUAACUGAAGAAGCUUAGGACUGGUAACAUUGUGGUAUUAGCUAUCAAGAUACUAGUAGGCACGUCAAAUUUGUCACAUAUGGACAAUGCUACGUGUGACAAGAAACACAGCCACGCACGCAAGCAUACCUUGAUAUGACAGUCCAGCGCGGGAUGUAAUAUGUUCCAAUUGGUUACAACA